This 253-nucleotide ribosomal RNA is filed under the name uncultured archaeon. RNAcentral's name for it is "partial 16S ribosomal RNA". It matches the Rfam family "Archaeal small subunit ribosomal RNA", at positions 474 to 727 of the family's 1478-position model. The record is from RNAcentral.
AACCAGCACCUCAAGUGGUCAGGAGGAUUAUUGGGCCUAAAGCAUCCGUAGCCGGCUCUGUAAGUUUUCGGUUAAAUCUAUAUGCUCAACGUAUAGACCGCCGAAAAUACUGCAGUGCUAGGAAGUGGGAGAGGUAGACGGUACUCGGUAGGAAGGGGUAAAAUCCUUUGAUCUAUCGAUGACCACCUGUGGCGAAGGCGGUCUACCAGAACACGUUCGACGGUGAGGGAUGAAAGCUGGGGGAGCAAACCGG